GGUGCGGUGGUUUAAUGGUUAGCGCGUUGAACUCUGGAUCGAGAGGUCCGGGUUCGAGCCCUGGCCGGGGUCA
Molecule: non-coding RNA, 73 nt
Organism: Desmophyllum pertusum
Lineage: Eukaryota; Metazoa; Cnidaria; Anthozoa; Scleractinia; Caryophylliidae
Source: the annotation of a GenBank genome assembly